AAAUUCUUGGAUUUGCGAAAGACGAACAACUGCGAAAGCACUUGCCAAGAGUGUCUUCAUUAAACAAGAACGAAAGUUAGAGGAUCGAAGACGAUCAGAUACCGUCCUAGUUCUAACCAUAAACGAUGUCGACUAGGGAUCAGCGGGCGUUAUCGUACGACCCCGUUGGCACCUUACGGGAAACCAAAGUUUCUGGAUUCCGGGGGAAGUAUAGUCGCAAGGCCGAAACUUAAAGGAAUUGACGGAAGGGCACCACCAGGAGUGGAGCCUGUGGCUCAAUUUGACUCAACACGGGAAAACUUACCAGGUCCAGACAUAGUAAGGAUUGACAGGUUGAGAGCCCUCUCUUGAUUCUAUGGGUGGUGGUGCA
Molecule: ribosomal RNA, 370 nt
Filed under: uncultured marine eukaryote
Lineage: Eukaryota
Description: SSU rRNA
Rfam family: Eukaryotic small subunit ribosomal RNA
Source: RNAcentral